Long non-coding RNA from Sphaerodactylus townsendi, 166 nucleotides. RefSeq lists it as uncharacterized. Lineage: Eukaryota; Metazoa; Chordata; Lepidosauria; Squamata; Sphaerodactylidae. The record is from RefSeq and is a predicted model, not a curated record. The transcript is spliced from 3 exons.
CACUACAGUGAAGGACAAAAGUAAGGUUUGCCCAGUGCCCUGAUGAAAGUAAUCGGAUAACCAACUAAUAUGCAGAAGACCCAGAACCACUGGGAGAUGCAUGCCUACAGCAGGGUGCCCGCAUUAUAAAGACUGAGGCAUCUGAGAUGGCACUAACUUCCAAAGG